CCGCCUUUGGCUCAGGGUUCCGGGCAACCCGGAGGAAGUGGGGGCUGCGGGGCUGGCUCCGAGUGGCAGACUGGGGACGAGACGGUCGCUGCUGCCAGGCGUCCCAAGUCUGGACAGUUGCGUGGCUGGCACGGCCACACUUUGCGCAGAGUGGGGCGCGGGGCAGCGGCAGAGAGCGCCUGAGCAGGCCCGGGCAGCGGGCCGUCUGCGGACGGGACCUUCACCUGCCCCGGGCCGGGAGGGAGCGAUUCGCCCUGCGCGUAAAGGCGCCACGAGAACGUCUUUGGGCGCUGAAGCCAGUUGCACCUGUCUCCCCCUUGGAACAUUCUCGCUGGAACUUGUGGGUGCAGCUGUCAUUCAUCAUUCCCUUCCCUAAUUUGUCUCAAGGCUACCAGAUGCAUUCCAGUCAUUUGCCUGAAGUUGAAGGUGGAAAAAAGGAAGACUUGGCUGCGGCUAGUGCUGUGGCUUAACAGCAGUGCCAGCAUCUCAUAUGGGUGCCGGUUUGAGUCCCAGCUGCUCCACUUCUGAUCCAGCUCUCUGCUAUUGCCUGGGAAAGCAGUAGAGGAUGGCUCAAGUUCUUGGGCCCCUGUGCCCAUGUGGGAGACCCAGAAGAAGCCCCUGGCUGCUGGCUUCAUAUCGGCCCAGCUCCAGCCAUUGCAGCCAUUUGGGGAGUGAACCAGCAGAUAGAAGACCUCUCUCUCUGCCUCUGCCUCUCUGUAACUCUGCCUUUCAAAUAAAUAAAUAAAUUUUUUUAAAAGGAAAACA
RNAcentral lists this long non-coding RNA (765 nucleotides) under Oryctolagus cuniculus (rabbit). RNAcentral's name for it is "lncRNA (ENSOCUG00000034092.1)". The record is from RNAcentral. Lineage: Eukaryota; Metazoa; Chordata; Mammalia; Lagomorpha; Leporidae.